GACAGCAGCAGCCGCGGUAAAACGAAGGGUGCAAGCGUUAAUCGGAAUUACUGGGCGUAAAGCGUGCGUAGGCGGUGAGUUAAGUCUGCUGUGAAAUCCCCGGGCUCAACCUGGGAAUGGCAGUGGAUACUGGCUCGCUAGAGUGUGUCAGAGGAUGGUGGAAUUCCCGGUGUAGCGGUGAAAUGCGUAGAGAUCGGGAGGAACAUCAGUGGCGAAGGCGGCCAUCUGGGACAACACUGACGCUGAGGCACGAAAGCGUGGGGAGCAAACAGGAUUAGAUACCCCAGUAGUCCCUGUCUCUUAUAC
RNAcentral lists this ribosomal RNA (306 nucleotides) under uncultured bacterium. RNAcentral describes it as "partial 16S ribosomal RNA". It matches the Rfam family "Bacterial small subunit ribosomal RNA", at positions 507 to 807 of the family's 1533-position model. The record is from RNAcentral.